CCUACGGGAGGCAGCAGUGGGGAAUAUUGGACAAUGGGCGAAAGCCUGAUCCAGCAAUUCCGCGUGUGUGAAGAAGGCCUUCGGGUUGUAAAGCACUUUAGUGGGGGAAGAAACAGCUUGGCCACACCAAGCCUUGACGGUACCCCAAGAAUAAGCACCGGCUAACUCUGUGCCAGCAGCCGCGGUAAUACAGAGGGUGCAAGCGUUAAUCGGAUUUACUGGGCGUAAAGGGUGCGUAGGUGGCUAUUUAAGUCGGAUGUGAAAGCCCGGGGCUCAACCUCGGAAUUGCAUUCGAUACUGAGUGGCUAGAGUUCGGUAGAGGGCGGCGGAAUUUCCGGUGUAGCGGUGAAAUGCGUAGAUAUCGGAAGGAACAUCAAUGGCGAAGGCAGCCGCCUGGGCCUGGACUGACACUGAGGCACGAAAGCGUGGGUAGCAAACAGGAUUAGAUACCCUGGUAGUCCACGCCGUAAACGAUGAGAACUUGACGUUGGUUCGUUUUACGAAUCGGUGUCGCAGCUAACGCGAUAAGUUCUCCGCCUGGGGAGUACGGCCGCAAGGUUGAAACUUAAAUGAAUUGA
RNAcentral lists this ribosomal RNA (578 nucleotides) under uncultured bacterium. RNAcentral's name for it is "bacterial SSU rRNA". It matches the Rfam family "Bacterial small subunit ribosomal RNA", at positions 338 to 913 of the family's 1533-position model. The record is from RNAcentral.